RNAcentral lists this ribosomal RNA (1018 nucleotides) under uncultured bacterium. RNAcentral describes it as "bacterial SSU rRNA". It matches the Rfam family "Bacterial small subunit ribosomal RNA", at positions 8 to 1058 of the family's 1533-position model. The record is from RNAcentral.
AGAGUUUGAUCCUGGCUCAGAAGGAACGCUGGCAGCGUGCAUAACACAUGCAAGUCGAACGGUAGUAUUGUCUUCGGAUGAUAUGAGAGUGGCGAACGGGUGAGUAACACGUAAGAAUCUACCUUUAGGACGGGGAUAACUUCUGGAAACGGAUGCUAAUACCCGAUAUGCUGUGGAGUGAAAUGAAUUUCGCCUAAAGAUGAUCUUGCGUCUGAUUAGCUAGAUAGGGUGGUAAUGGCGCCCUAUGGCGACGAUCAGUAGCUGGUCUGAGAGGAUGGACAGCCACAUUGGGACUGAGACACGGCCCAAACUCCUACGGGAGGCAGCAGUGGGGAAUUUUCCGCAAUGGGCGAAAGCCUGACGGAGCGACGCUGCGUGAAGGAUGACGGCCUGAGGGUUGUAAACUUCUUUUCUCGAAGAAGAAUUAAUGACGGUAUUCGAGGAAUAAGCAUCGGCUAACUCUGUGCCAGCAGCCGCGGUAAGACAGAGGAUGCAAGUGUUAUUCGGAUUGAUUGGGCGUAAAGCGUCUGUAGGCGGUUUAGAAAGUCUUUUGUGAAAUACUUCAGCUCAACUGGGGCCCCGCAAAAGAAACUUCUAGACUUGAGGGGAGUAGAGGUACAGGGAAUUUCCGGUGGAGCGGUGAAAUGCGUAGAUAUCGGAAGGAACACCAAUAUGGCGAAGGCACUGUACUGGGCUUUACCUGACGCUAAGAGACGAAAGCUAAAGGAGUGAUUAGGAUUAGAUACCCUAGUAAUUUUAGCCGUAAACGAUGGAAACUCACUGCCGAGCCGGUAUUCGGAGCGGUGGUCAAGCUAACGCGUGAAGUUUCCCGCCUGGGGAUUACGCAUGCAAAUGUGAAACUCAAAGGAAUUGACGGGGACCCGCACAAGCGGUGGAGUAUGUGGUUUAAUUCGAUGCAACGCGAAAAACCUUACCAAGGUUUGAAAUCAUUCUAAAACUCUUUGAAAAAAGAGCCUCCUUCGGGAUAGAAUGACAGGUGGUGCAUGGCUGUCGUCAG